Molecule: ribosomal RNA, 474 nt
Filed under: uncultured bacterium
Lineage: Bacteria
Description: bacterial SSU rRNA
Rfam family: Bacterial small subunit ribosomal RNA
Source: RNAcentral
AGCGGCAGGCUUAACACAUGCAAGUCGAGGGGCAGCACGGGUAGCAAUACCUGGUGGCGACCGGCGCAAGGGUGCGUAACGCGUGAGCAACAUGCCCUAUACAGGGGGAUAAUCCAGGGAAACUUGGUCUAAUAUCCCAUAGUAUUUAGAGGAGGCAUCUUCUAUAAAUUAAAGCUUCGGUGGUAUAGGAUUGGCUCGCGUGACAUUAGCUAGAUGGUGAGGUAACGGCUCACCAUGGCAAUGAUGUCUAGGGGUUCUGAGAGGAAGGCCCCCCACACUGGGACUGAGACACGGCCCAGACUCCUACGGGAGGCAGCAGUGAGGAAUAUUGGACAAUGGAUGGAAAUCUGAUCCAGCCAUGCCGCGUGCAGGAAGACAGCCCUAUGGGUUGUAAACUGCUUUUAUAUGGGAGCAAUAAGGUCUACGUGUAGACUGAUGAGAGUACCAUAUGAAUAAGCAUCGGCUAACUCCGUA